Molecule: small nucleolar RNA, 123 nt
Organism: Ictidomys tridecemlineatus (thirteen-lined ground squirrel)
Lineage: Eukaryota; Metazoa; Chordata; Mammalia; Rodentia; Sciuridae
Source: Ensembl
AGGUCAGUCCCGAGACGGCUCGUGGCACUGUGCAACCAAAGCUGUUGAUGCUGUGACCAAACACUGCAGUUCUACACAGGAUGCCAUGUCACUUAAAAAUGGUAUGCAGGGUUAGGGUGCAGC